CAGAGAAUAGUUUAUUAAAAUUUUAAUUUUGGAGAUUAAAGAUAAGAGGGGUUUCUUUUCUCUGA
Molecule: transfer RNA, 65 nt
Filed under: Ptomascopus plagiatus
Lineage: Eukaryota; Metazoa; Arthropoda; Insecta; Coleoptera; Silphidae
Description: tRNA-Pro
Source: RNAcentral